UACGGAGGAUGCGAGCGUUAUCCGGAUUUAUUGGGUUUAAAGGGUGCGCAGGCGGCAUGUCAAGUCAGCGGUAAAAUGUCGGGGCUCAACCCCGGCCGGCCGUUGAAACUGGAAGACUUGAGUGUGUUUGAGGUAGGCGGAAUGCGUGGUGUAGCGGUGAAAUGCAUAGAUAUCACGAAGAACUCCGAUUGCGAAGGCAGCGUACCGGCUCCAUACUGACGCUGAGGCACGAAAGCGUGGGGAUCGAA
Molecule: ribosomal RNA, 248 nt
Filed under: uncultured Muribaculaceae bacterium
Lineage: Bacteria; Pseudomonadati; Bacteroidota; Bacteroidia; Bacteroidales; Muribaculaceae
Description: partial 16S ribosomal RNA
Rfam family: Bacterial small subunit ribosomal RNA
Source: RNAcentral